RNAcentral lists this ribosomal RNA (507 nucleotides) under uncultured bacterium. RNAcentral's name for it is "partial 16S ribosomal RNA". It matches the Rfam family "Bacterial small subunit ribosomal RNA", at positions 28 to 507 of the family's 1533-position model. The record is from RNAcentral.
GACGAACGCUGGCGGCGUGCCUAAUACAUGCAAGUCGAACGCAUUUUCUUUCACCGUAGCUUGCUACACCGAAAGAAAAUGAGUGGCGAACGGGUGAGUAACACGUGGGUAACCUGCCCAUCAGCGGGGGAUAACACUUGGAAACAGGUGCUAAUACCGCAUAAUUCCAUUUACUGCAUGGUAGAUGGAUGAAAGGCGCUUUUGCGUCACUGAUGGAUGGACCCGCGGUGCAUUAGCUAGUUGGUGGGGUAACGGCCUACCAAGGCUGCGAUGCAUAGCCGACCUGAGAGGGUGAUCGGCCACACUGGGACGGAGACACGGCCCAGACUCCUACGGGAGGCAGCAGUAGGGAAUCUUCGGCAAUGGACGCAAGUCUGACCGAGCAACGCCGCGUGAGUGAAGAAGGUUGUCGGAUCGUAAAACUCUGUUGUUAGAAAAGAACAAGGAUGAGAGUGGAAAGUUCAUCCCUUGACGGUAUCUAACCAGAAAGCCACGGCUAACUACGUG